Molecule: long non-coding RNA, 997 nt
Organism: Prionailurus viverrinus (fishing cat)
Lineage: Eukaryota; Metazoa; Chordata; Mammalia; Carnivora; Felidae
Exons: 3
Source: RefSeq, a predicted model, not a curated record
GCUGGAGCAGGCCUCUGAGAACUGCCGGCUGCGGUGGUUUCUGGUUGCCAUACACAGAGGCAAACAAAGCCGAGGACACGCGGGGUAGCCCCGCCCAGCGCCAGGCUCGGGCUCCGGUUUCCCACCCCUCACCGGGUGGCGCCAGGUCACCCCGGGAUGUUUUCCUCCGCAGGUUGCCUUCUGGGGAGCAGAUGAAGACUAUGAAGGUGGAAUAAUAAAAGGGGAGGCUCCUUUAGAUUUUGGUGGUCAAGGAGGCCUCUCUGAGAGGUGGUCAAGACCUGAGAGAUAAAACCUACUUGUCCAUUUGAGAGACAAGCUGGGAAGAGAGUUUCCUGCCAGGAGGGCAACAGAGACUUGAGGUUGGAGGGGCAUCUUCAUGGACCACUAGAUAGAACCAGUGACUGGGAGUCAGCUAGACCUGAGUUCAAGUACUGAUUCUGCCACUUAUUCGCUGUGUGACUCACUGUGGAAACUUUGUAUGGACCAAACAAGACAGCCGCAACCUGGAUGCAGCCCAGUGACUGUGGGUGUAUGACUGCUGCUAGCCAACUUUGUAAACAUCUCAAUGUAAGGGUGACUUAUGUGACCCUGGGCUCCUGGGUCUCAGCCCAGGGGUUGUGAACAGCAAGUACUUAUAUAUGCCUUCUGAAUAAAAAAGUAACUAAUGGUCAUUUAUCCCCUAGAAAGUGCUCGGUAGAUGUUGAAAAAACACCGAGAAAAUUCUGAGAUUUUGUUCCAGGUGCCUGGGGCAAAACAGAUAACUAAUACCUGUAUGGCCUUAGGUGCAUCACUUCUCUCAAAGCCUCAGUAUUUACAUCUCUAAAAAGGGAGUGGGGGAGGUAUUUGCUGAGAUUGUCCAGAUGAAAUGACAUAAUGUGGAGAAAAUGUUCUACACAGUACUGGACACACAGCACAAUAAAUGUUAACCAUUUUAAUGGUUAUUAUCAUGAUCAUCAUCACGCUUUGUUUCCCUCAGAUGCCUGGUUAUUUUCAAAUA